Molecule: ribosomal RNA, 330 nt
Filed under: uncultured bacterium
Lineage: Bacteria
Description: bacterial SSU rRNA
Rfam family: Bacterial small subunit ribosomal RNA
Source: RNAcentral
UUCGUAGGCGGUGCGGUAAGUCGGAAGUGAAAUCUCUGGGCUUAACUCAGAGGCUGCUUUCGAAACUACCGUGCUAGGGUGCGGGAGAGGCGAGUGGAAUUGCAGGUGUAGCGGUGAAAUGCGUAGAUAUCUGCAGGAACACCCGUGGCGAAGGCGGCUCGCUGGACCGCAACUGACGCUGAGGAACGAAAGCUAGGGGAGCAAACAGGAUUAGAUACCCUGGUAGUCCUAGCCCUAAACCAUCAGGACUUGGGGUGGCCCGCGUUGGCGGGUCGUCCCGGAGCUAACGCGUUAAGUCCUGCACCUGGGGAGUACGGUCGCAAGGCUGAA